UUUAUUCCUAUUUUCAAUAUAAAGUUAGUAGUAUAUAGUUGUAUAGGUAAGUUGCUUAAGUUCAUACUUUGGUUAUUCACUACUGUGGACUUUUAACAUAUAAAGCCUUUACUUUACACCCGUUUAGUUUAAGACUGAUGAACAUUUUCCCCAUAGAAAGUUUUUAUUUAAAAUAAAUAGAAAGACAUAGAAAAAACUGACUUUCAGAAAAGGCACAGAAAUAUUUGUGAAUGGUGCCCAAAAAAUACUACCUGUAUAUACUGUGCAAGUGUUCCUACACUUGGUCAGUAUGUAUGUUGUAUUUCAAAGACUUUCUGACUAUACUCUUGGUUUGAUUUGUGUGUGUUAUCCCAAGAGAAGUAUCCCUGUGUAUUUUAAAAGUCCACCUAAUCUAUUUUUUGCUAAUCUAUGGUUGGAAUUUUAUAGAAAUAGUUUUAUUCUCUCAUUUGCUAGAUGCUGAUUGUUAGUGUAAGAGUUGAUGGGGAAAUUGGAUGUUCCACUUGGUUAUGAUUAAUUGGUUAAUGCUGACAAUAAUUAACAAGAAGAUCAGAAGUUCGAUGGCUGGUGCUCUUUAGCAGAUGCCCUGUACACAAGAUGUGGGAAGGUAGCGGCUACCUAGAUAGACGUGAGGCGCUGGAAGAGCUGCAAUUUCGUACAGCAAAGUGGGCGGGCUCAUCGUUACAGCGAUCGCCGGUGCUGAGGGGUCACCUGUGCAGGUUGCUCUCGCUAUGGGACCAAGCUACCGGCCAGAUGCGGUAUGAUGUGAUGAAUACGCGAUGAUGAAGCUGACAGAGAAGACGGGCGGCUCGCGUUUGACGCGCAUCUUCCGUCCUCCUCCUGAAAUCGACUCAUUAACUGAGUAUUGUGGGAAAGGGACAGAUUCUGAGGAACUCAAAGAAGAGUCGCACAGCACCAGAAACCUCGCUGAGUGAAUCUCGGAGCGAGGAAGCAAGGAUUACAUGGAUGUGUAAAUACAUUGUCAAUGCUGUUUUUAACUUAAACAGUGAGGAUUUCGAAGUGGAAUGUCAAAUUUCGGCCAAAGGCCAAGUACUGGGGGGGGGGACCUAUGAGGUCAUUCAUUGAGAGUACAGGGGGUCUGAAGGGUGUGACGGGAGGAAAGCCUCGAAGCAGUUGCGCUAUGAAACACUUGUCAGAAGAGGGUGGAAAGCAAGAUGGAAGAAAGAAAAUAUGAACGGAGGCACAGUAAAAAGAAUGAAAGGCAUUGCAGCUAGGGGGCCGAAGGGACGCUGCAAAGAGCCGUAGUAACGCCUACAGUGCACUUCACGAGGUGCAAUGAUGGCAAAACGGCCCUACAAGAAGAAACACUAAGAAAAAAUGUUGUCAACUUUUAAAGACAACACAAUUUUACUGGUAUAAUUUUGCUGGUAUAGUGGAUAAUGUCGUGACAUACCUCUCAAAUAUCGCGGGUUCGCGUCUCCCCCAGGGUGAGGAAAAUUCACUGGCUCUGUAUCAUGAUCAGUUAUUGCUGCAGUGUUGGGUCUGCGGUGGGAGGUUGAAACCAACGCUCUUUGGAAGCUUAAAUUUCAAGUCAAUGGCCCGUGUACUUGUUCGAUGUGGGUAGGUUUCAUCUACUGAAAUAAUAAUAAAAAUAAUAAUUAUGAAUUUUGUAUAUACAAGAAAUUAAUCCAGAUGUUGUAGAUUUUUUUUUUAGAUAGGCUUGAUAGUCAGUAAUAUUAGUAUUCAUCGUUCACAUUUUGCAACACAUUUAUUCUGGAAAUAAUUAAAAUCGCAUCUAAUUAUAAUUUUCUGUCUUGUCAUUUUUAGCAGAAACAUGUCGCCACUGAGUGUCUGGGCUGAUAAAAACGCAGCCUUUGAAUUUCAAACAAUUUUCAUACUAGCUGGCCUAUAUUAAAGCACCGAGAAUUUAACUUUUAAACUAGAAAUGGUUUGCCUCCAAGUCGUAUAGGAUAAAACAAGAAAAGUAAGUAUAUGGCUGAUAAUUUGCAUUUUGGCUUAAAGAUAAGUAGUUGAAGUUAUUCAAAUUAGGGUCCAGAGACAGUAAUAAUAACAAACCCAAGAAUCUUUACUGUUAGCAAUAUGAAUAAAUAUUGGCGAUAUUACGAAAAGUAUAACGGCCUUAUCUUUGUGAAAUCGACCCAAAUAACAUGUAAUAAGUUAUAAAAUUUGAUUCAUUCUAAGCCCUAAAUAAACGUUUUAUAUUUUCAUAAUAUAUUAGAUUUAAGAUAACAAUACAAAGAUGAUGUUAUU
Macrobrachium nipponense is the source of this 2229-nucleotide long non-coding RNA. RefSeq lists it as uncharacterized. The transcript has 5 exons. Lineage: Eukaryota; Metazoa; Arthropoda; Malacostraca; Decapoda; Palaemonidae. The record is from RefSeq and is a predicted model, not a curated record.